Monodelphis domestica (gray short-tailed opossum) is the source of this 1228-nucleotide long non-coding RNA. RefSeq lists it as uncharacterized. The record is from RefSeq and is a predicted model, not a curated record. Lineage: Eukaryota; Metazoa; Chordata; Mammalia; Didelphimorphia; Didelphidae.
AAAAGCAAAUCAAAAAGCUGAGAGGUCCAACCCUGUUCUUGAGGUUUCAAAUACCAGAAGCAGGUGGAACAAUUAAUAGCUUCCCUUAGGAUUCUUUGAGUUAUUCCAAUUUUUGCCCAUCCUUAAAUAUCACCAUUGAGACAGAGAGGGGAAGGGAAUAAGCAUUUAUUCAGCAUCUACUUGUGUAGUAGAAUAAGCACUGUGCCAGGCACUUUACAAACAUUAUCUCACUGGACCUUUACAAGUAGGUGUAUUAUUAUCCCCAUUUUACAAUUGAGUAAACUAAGGCAAAUACAAGUGGCUUGCCAGGGUCACACAGUGUCUGAGAUCACAUCUGAACUCAGGUCUUCCUGACUCCAGCCCUAACUCUGUCCACUGAGGCUGUCUUUCUCUGUACGUGGAUUUGGUCUGGCUGACCAUGGACACCACCACCUCCCAUGACCCCAUCCCUGACCUCCUGACUCUUCCUAAGUCACUGCACAGUUCUUUCCAUACAGUCCCCCAAAGGGUAAAGAUGAGGCAAACUGCUUAACCUUAGGGAAAUCUCUGGCAAUGACCAAAAAAACAAAAACAAAAACAAAAACAAACAAACAAACAAAAACCACCUGUCUAGGAUGCAAGCCUUUGAGAGAAUACCAUCCAAACAUGGGAUCAGAGAUGGAAGGACAACUGCUGUCUUAACUUACUGCAAUCUGGCCACCUUCAUCUUUCAGAUACAACUGGAUAUCACUCAAGGCAGCUAAUGCACAUUGCCUGCAACACAGAAGAGCACAGAAGACACACAUCAAAAGAAGGUCUUGGGGCAGCCAGGCAGCUCAGUGGACAGAGACGGAAAAAUUAAAAAUGCUGGGUUCAAAUGUGGCCUCAGACACUUCCUAGCAGUGAAACUCUGAGCAGGGCAUGUAACCCCCAUUGCCUAGCCCUUCUGGCUAAGAUGGAAGUGGAGGCUAAAGGAGAAAUCUGCUGACUGGACCCGAGAUCCUGUUCUUGAUGAGCCUGUUGGACUGACAUGUGGUUUAUGAAAUAAGUUUUGGGAAGUUUGAUUGGCAUGACACUGAAUAGACUUCAAGCCAAAAGAGCCACUAUGUUUUCUCCAACCCAAAAACAAACAGAAUGAUAACAUCAAGACCCAGGUGGAGGAGAUGCUCUAAAGGAGAAGAAACACAGAUGAAGAAAGCACUUCAAAGUGGAGGAAGGGUGCCUAAAUAUUUAUUUCUUAACUUACUUC